AGGGUCAGUCAUAGUAGUAUGAUAGGUGUUGUUUUACAGGGUCAGUCAUAGUAGUGUGAUAGGUGUUGUUUUACAGGGUCAGUCAUAGUAGUAUGAUAGGUGUUGUUUUACAGGGUCAGUAGUAUGAUAGGUGUUGUUUUACAGUGUCAGUCAUAGUAGUAUGAUAGGUGUUGUUUUACAGGGUCAGUCAUAGUAGUAUGAUAGGUGUUGUUUUACAGGGUCAGUCAUAGUAGUAUGAUAGGUGUUGUUUUACAGGGUCAGUCAGAGUAGUAUGAUAGGUGUUGUUUUACAGGGUCAGUCAUAGUAAUAUGAUAGGUGUUGUUUUACAGGGUCAGUCAUAGUAGUAUGAUAGGUGUUGUUUUACAGGGUCAGUCAUAGUAGUAUGAUAGGUGUUGUUUUACAGGGUCAGUCAUAGUAGUAUGAUAGGUGUUGUUUUACAGUGUCAGUCAUAGUAGUAUGAUAGGUGUUGUUUUACAGGGUCAGUCAUAGUAGUAUGAUAGGUGUUGUUUUACAGGGUCAGUCAUAGUAGUAUGAUAGGUGUUGUUUUACAGGGUCAGUCAUAGUAGUAUGAUAGGUGUUGUUUUACAGGGUCAGUCAUAGUAGUAUGAUAGGUGUUGUUUUACAGGGUCAGUCAUAGUAGUGUGAUAGGUGUUGUUUUACAGGGUCAGUCAUAGUAGUAUGAUAGGUGUUGUUUUACAGGGUCAGUCAUAGUAGUAUGAUAGGUGUUGUUGUACAGGGUCAGUCAUAGUGGUAUGAUAGAUGUUGUUUUACAGGGUCAGUCAUAGUAGUAUGAUAGGUGUUGUUUUACAGGGUCAGUCAUAGUAGUAUGAUAGGUGUUGUUUUACAGGGUCAGUCAUAGUAGUAUGAUAGGUGUUGUUUUACAGGGUCAGUCAUAGUAAUAUGAUAGGUGUUGUUUUACAGGGUCAGUCAUAGUAGUAUGAUAGGUGUUGUUUUACAG
Oncorhynchus keta (chum salmon) is the source of this 958-nucleotide long non-coding RNA. RefSeq lists it as uncharacterized. NCBI's taxonomy places the organism in Eukaryota, Metazoa, Chordata, Actinopteri, Salmoniformes, Salmonidae. The transcript is spliced from 5 exons. The record is from RefSeq and is a predicted model, not a curated record.